CGACCGUAGGAGUCUGCGUGCUGUAAUCACAUGCAAGUCUAGCGAUAAACUACUCAGGUAGUCAAUUAGCGGCGAACUUGUUAAGAACACGUGACGAAUCUGCCUUCACAGCUGGCAUAACUCCUCGGAAACAGGGGCUAAUGCCGAGAUAUGGUACUUGGUGGAAUGCUUCCGAGUUUGGAAAGUUUUUCGGUAUAAGAUGACCUCUCGGACUAUCAGCUUGUUGGUCAGGUAAUGGCUCUCCAAGGCGACCACCAGGUAGCCCAGCCUGAGAGAGCUUCCGGCCACACUGGGCCUGAGACACGGCCCAGACUCCUACGGGAGGCAGCAGUGGGGAAUAUUCGGCAAUGGAGGAAACUCUGACCCAGCGACGCCGCGUGCGGGAUGAAGGCCUUCGGGUUGUAAACCGCUUUCAGUAGGGAAGAAGCGAAAGUGACGGUACCUACAGA
RNAcentral lists this ribosomal RNA (449 nucleotides) under uncultured Actinomycetales bacterium. Its description in RNAcentral is "bacterial SSU rRNA". It matches the Rfam family "Bacterial small subunit ribosomal RNA", at positions 38 to 485 of the family's 1533-position model. Lineage: Bacteria; Bacillati; Actinomycetota; Actinomycetes; Actinomycetales. The record is from RNAcentral.